This 542-nucleotide long non-coding RNA is filed under the name Heterocephalus glaber (naked mole-rat). Its description in RNAcentral is "lncRNA (ENSHGLG00100051433.1)". The record is from RNAcentral. Lineage: Eukaryota; Metazoa; Chordata; Mammalia; Rodentia; Bathyergidae.
GUGGGGGAGGGGAGGGAAAGGGACAGGGAAGAGGAGGGGAAGGGGGAGGGGAAGGGACAAGGAACAGGAGGGAGGAGGGGCCCCUGCACCUCAUUUGUGGAUGGAAGACAAUACUCACAGGCACCCUGGGGGUCUCCAGGAGCUCGGGGGAAGGGACUGGGACAGAGAGAUUGCAGCCAUCCACGUGAAUCCCUGCACAUAUGAAAACUAACAGAUAAACUACAAGUAGAACACAGCUUGAUCAAAGGAGACAUAUAUUCUUUUAAAUCCUCAUCAUACUUCUUUGAGGUGGGAAGACAGAAGGACCUACCAGAGCAGGAAGCUGGGUCCAGAAAAGAGCCCUCAGAUGGUACAUCUCACCAUGAUCCACACAGGACGGGUGGGAUUGGAGCACGGAGACGUGUGUGUUGCCAGCUCAGAGACUUCACAGUGCUGUCACAUGCUCUGGUGUGGCUCAAAGUCAGGGCUUUCCAGAUAUUUCAUCUAUGACAGAACCAUAAGCUGCCUCUGUAUCAGUGCCUUUCACUUUUUUGAUUAUAUGA